RNAcentral lists this transfer RNA (75 nucleotides) under Candidatus Woesebacteria bacterium. RNAcentral describes it as "tRNA-Thr". It matches the Rfam family "tRNA". From Rfam's summary of the family: Transfer RNA (tRNA) molecules are approximately 80 nucleotides in length. The record is from RNAcentral. Lineage: Bacteria; Candidatus Woeseibacteriota.
GCCAGCGUAGCUCAACGGUAGAGCAAUCCCUUCGUAAGGGAGAGGUUGGAAGUUCAAAUCUUCCCGUUGGCUCCA